This is a non-coding RNA of Paramuricea clavata, 2559 nucleotides long. Lineage: Eukaryota; Metazoa; Cnidaria; Anthozoa; Malacalcyonacea; Plexauridae. The record is from the annotation of a GenBank genome assembly.
UUUGUCAGCCAUUUUGUCAUUUUGUAUUUGAACAUAUUUAAACUUUAUUAUUUCGUGUUUAGAUGUCAACUGAAUAUGAAUGUCAGCCAAAUUGGACAAAAGAAGGUAGGAAUACGAUAUAUAUUAAUGCGAAAUGUCAAAAUUUAGUGGUUAUACUUAAUAUAAGUAGUGCUAAAAAAUAUCACACACUUUGCCAAUGCCAAAUAAUGGGCCAUUCCAUUUAAUAUCUACACCCCCCUGUCGACGACGUCUUCCAAUUUCACACCCCUAAGAAGCAUGUUUUUAUAAGCCCCCCUCGGAAAUUCAUCACAAUUUUGAAAGCCCUUCAGAAAUUUGAUGUUUUCUUCUAUAUUCUUAAGGAAACUAAGUGACCCCUCUGAAAUACCCCUGUCGACGACGUCACCAAUUUUUCCACCCUUCGGAAAUUUUCGGCCAUGAUUUUGUGACCCUUCGGAAAAUGUCGUCGACAGCCCUAAUUUUCGUGACCAUUCGGAAAAUGUCGUCGACAGCCCGUCCAGCUUUUCGCCUAUUUGCUGAAGGGGCUCGGAAAUUUCGCUGAUUAGCGAAAACCCUUAAGAAAAUGCGAUUUUUUUGUUCCCUUCGGAAAUUACCAUUUUUAGAACCCCUAAGAAAUACAAAUUUUCAGGACCCCUCCGAAGACGUCGUCGACAGGGGGGGUGUAGAUAUUAAAUGGAAUGGCCCAAUUUUUGUGAAGAAUGAAAGUCUGUUGCCCUGUUUAUGUUUUCCAGACAGGCAAAAGCUUUUAAAAGCAUCCAAGAAAGCGCAGUUACUGCAUUAGAUAACAUGGAAUGGCAAUGGGCAAUGUUAGCCCCCUACGGCCCUACCAGGCCCCCCCUAUUCGGAUGUCCUAAACUAAGGCCACUACAACUUAAUCUUUAGUUUCUGGUCCGGCCUUACUUCCGUUUACGACGCGGGCGGGCGGGUGGUAAGGACUAUAGGACAUAAUUACAAUUGUGGUUUGCCCACAUUUUUGUGGUCCUUUUUGUCCCUUUUCAUGCUAAUUGUAUCAAAAUAUUAUAAAAUGUUACGUAAAUUGCAUUAUUUUACAUUAUUUAAAAAUAGACAUGCACGACAGAUUACAAAGGAUUUUACAUAUCAAAAUGAUUAUUUAUAGGUUUUUUUACCUCGUACGGCUCGUAAUCUUGUGCAUGAUGGCCAAAUGAGAACGCAGACUUAUAAGGCAUCAGUUUUUACCCUUCAGUACUUCAUUUUGCUAGGUCUUUUUAGUGUAAGUUGAAUAUUUAUCGUUCUAUAAGUUAAAUCCUUCGCGAAAAUUUUCAAAAACUUGAAAUUAAUUGUAAACAACAAAAUAGUCCUGAAAUAAUACUCUACGGAGAAAUGAUGCGGGCGGCGGACCAGAAACUAAAGAUUAACUUGUAGUGGCCUAAUUUUUCUCCCCUCUCACUGCGGAUGGCAGAAAUUUCUUCCGUGGGGGGAGUGUGGAUCUUUCCUGGAACGAACCAAUGGUGGUGUUUUCCAGUAUAGCAAAAUUGAUAAUUUGUCAAUGUCGAUUUGUCAUGUACGAUUCGUAUUUUGGCGUAUGAAAAUUACUGCUGACGCCACGUUUCCUCUUUAUUUAGUUAUGGUUACUGUACAUACACAGGAAUAUGAAUCGUACAUGACAAAUCACAGCGUGUAAACGUGCCUUAAAAUAUAUAUACUAUAUAUGAUUUAAUGCAAAAUGCUGUGAAUAUUUAUCCCAAUGUGGAUCCCAAUGUCACAGAAUAGAGACCUUACAGAGAACCAGUUUAGCCAAAAAAGUAUUGUUUCCAUACCAUGAUUCACAGUCAUGGUUUGUCAUCAAAAUGCUGUUGCCAUGUCUCUAGCCAGUUUGUUUACGAGAGGCAAUUCACGCCCUGAACGCCCACCAUUUUGAAUAUGUUCAGGGGGGUGAGUGAAGUCGACCUUCUGUAAGGUUUUUAUUCUGUGCCAAUGUGGUAUGGCUAUUAAUCAGACACAGCACUUUGUUAUUUUACUCUGUCUAACGCCAGAUGAUUUUACUCGUCAGGGGGAGAGUUCUGUCACUCAAUGGGUUAAACAAAUGGCAGCACUCUCCACUUGACAAGUAAAAUUGUCUGGCGUUAGACAGAGUAAAAUACUAAAGUAGGGUGCAUCAGGGUGUAUUGGCACAGGAUUAAGAGGAUGCACAGACGGUUUUUUGGUUAACCCGUUUAGUGGCAGCACUCUCCACUUAAUUGACCAGUAAAAUCAUCUGGCAUUAGACAGAGUAAAAUCAUCUUGGCAAGUAAAAUACUAAAGUAGGGUGCAUUGGCACACCUAAAGGGUUUAGAAAAUUUGUUAUGUUUAUAUGUGAUUAUUAAGUGUGUGAUUACAAAAUGGACAGGUGUUCUGUAUUAAAUUCCACCUCACAAUUUAUCUUGUAGAAGAAACAGGCUUUACGCAGGUUAUCGCAGGGUUCGGCAGGUCAAGGCAUGCGUAAAGAUGACAUAAGGCGGAAGUUGGAAGCUAGAAGACGUCUUGCUGCUUCAGGUUCAGACGGCAGUGAAAGAAAAUUCCCCAGGGGAAAUGUAAGACAAG